AGAGCGAACGCUGGCGGCAGGCUUAACACAUGCAAGUCGAACGGAUCCUUCGGGGGUUAGUGGCGGACGGGUGAGUAACACGUGGGAACGUGCCUUUUGGUUCGGAACAACUCAGGGAAACUUGAGCUAAUACCGGAUGUGCCCUUCGGGGGAAAGAUUUAUCGCCAUUAGAGCGGCCCGCGUCUGAUUAGCUAGUUGGUGAGGUAAAGGCCCACCAAGGCUACGAUCAGUAGCUGGUCUGAGAGGAUGACCAGCCACAUUGGGACUGAGACACGGCCCAAACUCCUACGGGAGGCAGCAGUGGGGAAUCUUGCGCAAUGGGCGAAAGCCUGACGCAGCCAUGCCGCGUGAAUGAUGAAGGUCUUAGGAUUGUAAAAUUCUUUCGACCGGGACGAUAAUGACGGUACCGGAGAAGACGCCCGGCUAACUUCGCGCCAGCAGCCGC
This 445-nucleotide ribosomal RNA is filed under the name uncultured bacterium. RNAcentral describes it as "SSU rRNA". It matches the Rfam family "Bacterial small subunit ribosomal RNA", at positions 26 to 518 of the family's 1533-position model. The record is from RNAcentral.